GGUUUCAUAAGGGGUAUUGUAUUAGUCUGUUCUCACACUGCUAUAAAGAACUGCCUGAGAGAUUAGGUAAUUUAUAAAGAAAAGAGGUUUAAUUGACUCACAGUUCCCCAUGAUUGUGGUGGUGGGGCGGCGGGGGUGCCUCAGGAAACUUACAAUCACGGCAGAAGGCAUCUCUUCACAGGAUGGCAGGAGACAGAAAUAGGUGCGGAACAACGGAGGAAGCCCCUUAUAAAACCAUCAGAUCUCGCCAGAACGCACUCACCCUCACGAGAACAGUAUGGGGGAAACUGCCCCCAUGAUUCAAUUAUCACCACCUGGUCCUGUCCUUGACAGCUGGAGAUUAUUACAAUUCAAGCGUGAGGAUUUAAGGAAGAUAGAUGGUACAAGAUGUUGUCUCCUCCGCAGACGCUUUCUGCUCUG
RNAcentral lists this long non-coding RNA (420 nucleotides) under Homo sapiens (human). Its description in RNAcentral is "HSALNT0155417". Lineage: Eukaryota; Metazoa; Chordata; Mammalia; Primates; Hominidae. The record is from RNAcentral.